CAGUAGCCGCGGGAAUACGUAGGGUGCAAGCGUUAUCCGGAAUUAUUGGGCGUAAAGAGCUCGUAGGCGGUUUGUCGCGUCUGCUGUGAAAACUGGAGGCUCAACCUCCAGCCUGCAGUGGGUACGGGCAGACUAGAGUGCGGUAGGGGAGAUUGGAAUUCCUGGUGUAGCGGUGGAAUGCGCAGAUAUCAGGAGGAACACCGAUGGCGAAGGCAGAUCUCUGGGCCAUAACUGACGCUGAGGAGCGAAAGCAUGGGGAGCGAACAGGAUUAGAUACCCCCGUAGUCCCUGUCUCUUAUAC
Molecule: ribosomal RNA, 301 nt
Filed under: uncultured bacterium
Lineage: Bacteria
Description: partial 16S ribosomal RNA
Rfam family: Bacterial small subunit ribosomal RNA
Source: RNAcentral